This is a non-coding RNA of Schistosoma curassoni, 46 nucleotides long. The record is from Rfam. Lineage: Eukaryota; Metazoa; Platyhelminthes; Trematoda; Strigeidida; Schistosomatidae.
GCAUUGCUGAAGGGUUCCAUACUAGGACGAAACGGCCGUCCAGUAC